Brassica napus (rape) is the source of this 1314-nucleotide long non-coding RNA. RefSeq lists it as uncharacterized. The record is from RefSeq and is a predicted model, not a curated record. Lineage: Eukaryota; Viridiplantae; Streptophyta; Magnoliopsida; Brassicales; Brassicaceae. The transcript has 8 exons.
GGCCAAUAGGAUUGCUUUAAAUCGCCAUGUCAGCUUAUGACUAUUCCUCUUCCUCUUCACCGAUCGAUUCCUCCGCUGUUACUGUAAUUCACCCUUCGUGAAUCUGUAAUGCUCUUAAAUCCUCUUUUAAUGGUUUCAUUCCAGAUUCUCCUCUUUCUCCUUCUAUACAAAGCCCUAAUCUGAUGUUUAAUCCAAACCCUUAUUCAACAAAAUGGAUUCUACCUCCGCCACACGCCGCCGCAUAAACGCUAUCCACUCCCAUCUCGUCACGUCUUCUCGCUUUUCCCCUCUCCUCCUCAGCUCCAAUCCCACCGCCGGCGACUCUGUCUCGAUAAUGGAUAUAACGUUGUGCUUCCCGAGAAGCUGAGCACUGGCAAGUGAAACGUCUACAGGUUAUAUAUCAACGAUCAUUUUCCUCCUACAGGUUAUAUAUCACCGAGGCAAGAGCAAAUCAUAAGCUGCAUAUGAUGGUACUCCAAGAAGACUGUGUUGCUGAGUUGAACAAUUACAUAGACCCUCUCUACCGGAGAAUUUAGAUGGAAAACUUCUGAGUCGCAUUUUGGAGGUUGAUGGUAAGCUGAAUCCGAAAGUGCAAUACUGAAUCAGGCAUGGUCUUAAGAAAGCUGCUUAGCAGAGCAUACUUGAUGAUUUAAACAAGCAUGACCCAGGGUUCACACAGCCUUCUGUUUCAGGAGCAACGCCACAAGUGGUUCCAACCAACCUGCACUGCCGCUGGUAAUCACUAAUCCGGAAUGUAUCGAUUUUGUCCUUAUUAGAGGUCUUCUUCCAAAAUCACGUUUUAGGUUCAAGUUUGGUACCAUGCAAGCUGUUACUGGUCAGUAGGAAGACUUUGGACGCUAUAAUGUUGUUGAAGAGCUCGAGAUUCUGAAACGGUCGACCAUGAAUCCUUUGGUGUUGGGUGCCACAUCUGGCAGUGAUCUACUAUAUAACGCAGUACAGUGGUGUUAGGAAACUGGAGACUGUUACAGUGGCGGAGGUGAAUGCCUACGUUCUGAACUCACCCCUAAGAAGAUUUACUGAUCUAAAGGGGUCAGCCGGUCAGGAAAACCAACAAGAAAGGCCUGAAGAGCUUAGUUUUCUUCAUGAAGCACUGUCAUGAAACCACUCUAUCGUAACUCCCAGUGCUUAAUAUUAUUUCUAUAAAUUUUAUGCUAUGCAAAUAAGGGAUUGGGCACUUAGGUGUCUUUGUCUCACUUCUGAUUUUCAUACACCCUGAAUUUUUUGGCUUUUUAAAAUAUGAAUUACUUCUUAGUUUCCACAUAAAUCAAAUGUUCAGCCUUUGUUAUUUAUCUA